UACAGAGGUCCCAAGCGUUGUUCGGAUUCACUGGGCGUAAAGGGUGCGUAGGUGGUGGGGUAAGUCGGAUGUGAAAGCUCGGAGCUCAACUCCGAAAUGGCAUUGGAAACUACCCUGCUUGAGGGUCGGAGGGGGGACUGGAAUUCUCGGUGUAGCAGUGAAAUGCGUAGAUAUCGAGAGGAACACCAGUGGCGAAGGCGAGUCCCUGGACAACACCUGACACUGAGGCACGAAAGCUAGGGGAGCAAACAGG
Molecule: ribosomal RNA, 253 nt
Filed under: uncultured bacterium
Lineage: Bacteria
Description: partial 16S ribosomal RNA
Rfam family: Bacterial small subunit ribosomal RNA
Source: RNAcentral